Molecule: ribosomal RNA, 1221 nt
Filed under: metagenome
Description: bacterial SSU rRNA
Rfam family: Bacterial small subunit ribosomal RNA
Source: RNAcentral
GUCUGAGAGGAUGAUCAGCCACACUGGAACUGGAACACGGUCCAGACUCCUACGGGAGGCAGCAGUGAGGAAUUUUGCGCAAUGGGGGAAACCCUGACGCAGCAACGCCGCGUGAGCGAAGAAGGCCUUCGGGUCGUAAAGCUCUGUCAAGUGGGAAAAAAAUCUUUUGAUCAAUAGUCAAAAGACUUGAUGGUACCAUUGGAGGAAGCACCGGCUAACUCCGUGCCAGCAGCCGCGGUAAUACGGGUGCAAGCGUUGUUCGGAUUUACUGGGCGUAAAGAGCGUGUAGGCGGUUUAGCAAGUCAGAUGUGAAAGCCCUGGGCUCCACCCGGGAAGUGCAUUUGAAACUGCUUCACUAGAGUAUGGGAGAGGAGAUUGGAAUUCCUGGUGUAGAGGUGAAAUUCGUAGAUAUCAGGAGGAACACCCGUGGCGAAGGCGAUUCUCUGGACCAAUACUGACGCUGAGACGCGAAAGCGUGGGGAGCAAACAGGAUUAGAUACCCUGGUAGUCCACGCCGUAAACGAUGAGAACUAGGUGUAGUGGGUAUUGACCCCUGCUGUACCGAAGUUAACGCAUUAAGUUCUCCGCCUGGGGAGUACGGCCGCAAGGCUAAAACUCAAAGGAAUUGACGGGGGCCCGCACAAGCGGUGGAGCAUGUGGUUUAAUUCGACGCAACGCGAAGAACCUUACCUGGGUUUGACAUCCUCUGACCGUCUGGGAAACCAGAUUUUUCCGGCUUUGCCGGAACAGAGUGACAGGUGCUGCAUGGCUGUCGUCAGCUCGUGUCGUGAGAUGUUGGGUUAAGUCCCGCAACGAGCGUAACCCUUGUCUUUAGUUGCCAUUAUUAAGUUAGGCACUCUAAAGAGACUGCCUCGGUUAACGGGGAGGAAGGUGGGGAUGACGUCAAGUCCUCAUGGCCUUUAUAUCCAGGGCUACACACGUGCUACAAUGGGCUGUACAAAGGGUUGCUAACCUGCGAGGGUGCGCUAAUCCCAAAAAGCAGUUCUCAGUUCGGAUUGAAGUCUGCAACUCGACUUCAUGAAGGUGGAAUCGCUAGUAAUCGUGGAUCAGCAUGCCACGGUGAAUACGUUCCCGGGCCUUGUACACACCGCCCGUCACACCACGAAAGUCGACUGUACCAGAAGUUGCUGGGCUAACCUCUUCGGAGGAGGCAGGUACCUAAGGUACGGCCGGUAAUUGGGGUGAAGUCGAAACAAGGUA